Molecule: long non-coding RNA, 2639 nt
Organism: Bactrocera dorsalis (oriental fruit fly)
Lineage: Eukaryota; Metazoa; Arthropoda; Insecta; Diptera; Tephritidae
Exons: 3
Source: RefSeq, a predicted model, not a curated record
UAUUAAAUACGGAUAAUUAUGGUAACUUUUUUCAUGCAUAAGUAUGUACAAGUAUAUGGACCUCCCCAGGUUUUCAAUGCAACACCACUAUACAAGACCUAUGUAUGUUAAUUGUAUGGAAGGGCUUAAUAUUUAUAUGACUGUGUAAAUCAUAUUUUUUAUUAGCUCUUCGCAUAUAUAAAGUUAUAAACAAAAAUCAUUCGCAUAAAAUCCAAUGAUUUUGUUUACAAACGAAUUCCAUCCGUCUUUGUGGCGUUGCUCAAUUAUGCCAUACAGAAUCUUUCAAUGAAAAACAGAUUAUUAUUUAUUUACCUAAGUAAUCAAACUUUCAGUUCAACGCCGUUACGCUACUUACUUGCAACCCACGACUCGCGAGUUUAUUUGUGUAAACGACGCUUAUAUCGACAUGGAAACUUAUUACCACCAGUACGAACAAUCAGACACCUACAUCUUUUUUAUUCCCAGUGGAAAACUACGAUAUUUCUCAAUUGUUCACUACUAUAUAUGUGUGUAUAAAGUGGAGAAAUACAGCUAUCUCAAAAUAUUGCACCUAAUCAAGUUUUUAAAUUAAACGGAUAAGAUCACGGGUUAAAGAUAAGUGGUUGUUGAACUUAAAUUGCUUCAUUAGCAAUAUAAGAGAUAUAGUAAUAUAAUUAAUACUAAGCACAAGCCCCCUUUAUUAAAAUAAAUACACUGGGUAUACAUACAUCCCAGGCUGUUUAAACUUUGUCAUUUGGGACGUUUUUUGAAUGGCAGGUCCCAAACCCAGCGCAUAACCCUGUUGAGGUGAUGUUUCGCCUUCUCACAUUAUCUCGAACUUAAACUUUCUUUGGCUACCGUAAGGACACUUGGUUUAGGACCGGAAGUCGUGAGCUGCUUGAGCCAUAUGUGAAAGAAUCGCUUUUGGCGCUCCCAAGUGAAUGGCGAUCAGAGAACUUUCCUCACUUGCAUGAACUUCUUGACAUGACUCCGUCCUCCAUUCUUCUACUGUACAUACAUACUUCCAAUCAAAAACGGCACUUGCUUGCGACAACGGAAAAUAUAGUUUAAUUAUGAGGGAGCAGAUGAGUCAAUUCGCGAUGCUAAGCAAAACUUUGAAAUUCAUCUCUGUUUUGUCAUUAUUGAUUGCAUUGUCUUCAAUCGAUGGAAGGUACGAUCAGUUGAAAGUUACUAAAACUUUGAUCAGAUGCAAAGUUUUACAUACACAUCUAUUUUUCAACAUUGUAAAAAAUUUGAAAGUCAGUAACUCACAGUGGAUUGACGGAGUGGACGCAACAGAAUUAUGCUACGAAGUACAUACUGUUGGCAGAAAAUUUGCUCAAAAGACCACACUAUUGGACUUUUUAAUUAUAUUUUCUCUAACGAAAUUUAAUUACGGCAAUAAGGGUGUUGUAAAAAUCCGUAUCCAGCUCUUAAGUAAUUGUUAAAGAAAAAAAUUCCUUAUUUCUUGAGCUGUAGUCAAGUAAUUUUGAUAGUUGAUUACGCAUUGUAAAUGAUCCACAUUAGAAGAGCAAGAGAAAAUAAAUUUAUGUGUCUCCUCCUUCGAUGCCGUCUUUAUCUCGUCAAGAGAAGCGUAACGUCGUCCUUUCAUGGGCCUCUUCAAUUUAGGGAACAAGAAAAAGUCACAGGGGGCCAGAUCUGGGGAAUACGGUGGCUGCGGCAUCAUUAGUGUGUUGUUUUUGGCCAAAAGUCGCACACAAGCAACGAUGUGUGAGCAGGGGCGUUACCGUGGUGCAAAAGCCAAUUUUUGUUCUUCCACAAAUCCGGGCGUUUCUGGCGGAUUGCUUCGCGCAAAUUGCGCAUAACUUGCAGGUAAUAUUCCUCAUUGACCGUUCUUCCCUGUGGCAAGAACUCAUGAUGCACCAUGCCCCUGCAAUCGAAGAAAACUGUCAGCAAACUAUCGCGAUACUUUUUGAACACACCUCGUACAGUAGAAUUAACUCGCGAUAAAGUUAAACCUUCGGCUAAGUUGACCGAGCGUUCAACGUACCGCUCUAAAAAGUUAACUUUUAGUUAAUUACGGCAAUAAGGAUGUUUUGGUUAACUUUUUUGAGCUUAUCUUUUUUUCAAACCGUUUGUUUGGCCAGGAAAAUAAUUGCUACAUACAUAUGUAUUCCUUAAAUUUCUAUGUAAAAAUUAUUGCAGAUGUCGCGAGGUAUAUACAUAUACAUAUAUAGAUACGUAGUUUGUCAUGAGCAUUUGAACUUCUGGGUUAUUUAUAGUUAGUGUGUUAAAAAUGUCAACAAAGCAGAAAAAAUCAUUGCAAAUCAGAUUAAAUUUGCAUUAAAGCUGGGAUUUUAAGAAAAAUCGAUGAAGGCAUUCAUGCAAAUUGAUUGGCGUUGAAUUAUAAUGUAUUUAAGGCGGCCAUCUGAAAAACAAAGAAAAAACUUCAUGAAAUCCAGGAAGAGGCAAGCUGAAAUUGGGAAACAACAAAUAUAACAUUAAUGGAAGGACUGUGGGAAGUGUUUAGAGCAUUAAGAGUCGCUACAAUCCACUAUUCUUAGUAAUAUAUCUUUUGAGUAAAAUUAAAAUUUUGAAAUGUUUUGCCCCUUUUCAAGUUAUUUGUGUUUUACCUAUCUUACUUAAUAACAACUAAUAAAUCAAUUAAAAUUAACUAAACUUAAAAUAUUUAAAUAACA